UGACUGAAGGACAUGGAGACUGACUCCUGCGUGCUGGACCUCAGCCACAAUCACAGCCAAACACCAACACAGCCAGCAGGCUUGGUGCACCAGUUCCUCCUGCAGCAAAGCACACCCACAACAUGAUGCUGCCACCCCCGUCCUUCACGGCUAGGAUGGUGUUCUUCGGCUUGCAAGCCUUUUUGUUUCAUCAGACCAGAGGACAUUUCUCCAAAAAGUAAGAUCUUUGUCCCCAUGUGCAGUUGCAAACCGUAGUCUGGCUUUUUUUAUGGCGGGUUUGGAGCAGUGGCUUCUUCCUUGCUGAGCGGCCUUUCAGGUUGUGUCGAUAUCGAACUCGUUUUUACUGUGGAUAUAGAUACUUUUGUACCCGUUUCCUCCAGCAUCUUCACAAGGUAUUUUGCUGGAUUCGAACCAGGGUGUCCAGUAGUGACGCCUUCAGGCGUUUGGAAGUUGCUCCCAAGGAUGAACCAGAUAUGUGAAGGUCUACAAUUUUUUUCUGAGGUCUUGGCUGAUUUCUUUUGAUUUUCCCAUGAUGUCAAGCAAAGAGGCACUGGGUUUGAAGGUAGGCCUUGAAAUACAUCCACAGGUACACCUCCAAUUGACUCAAAUGAUGUCAAUUAGCCUAUCAGAAGCUUCUAAAGCCAUGACAGAAUUUUCCAAGCUCUUAAAAGGUACAGUCAACUUAGUGUAUGUAAACUUCUGACCCACUGGAAUUGUGAUACAGUGAAUUAUAGGUGAAAUAAUCUGUCUGUAAACAAUUGUUGGAAAAAUACUUGUCACAAAGUAGAUGUCCUAACCGACUUGCCAAAACUAUAGUUUGUUAACAAGAAAUGUGUGUUGUGGUUGAAAAACUAGUUUUAAUGACUCCAACCUAUGUUUUUGUAAACUUCCUACUUUAACUGUGUGUGUGUGUGUCCGUCCGUCCGUCCGUCCGUCAGAUAAUCAAGGAAGUAAUGGAGUCUGAGACGCAGGUGCGUGUAACGAUUGUGACAGGUGUGCCCCAUAACGAGCAGCCUGGUGAGCUAGAAACUGGAGAGGGAGCUCAUGUGACAAUUUUUGAUAUUCUUCAUUGUACCCACCCUUUGCCUUGAUAAGAGCUUUGCACACUCUUGGCAUUCUCUCAACCAGCUUCAUGUUGUAGUCCCCUGGAAUGCAUUUCAAUUAAUAGGUGUGCCUUGAUAUUUUGUGGAAUUUCUUUCAUUAAUGCGUUUGAUCCAAUCAUUUGGGUUGUGUCAAGGUAGGGUGGUAUACAGAAGAUAGCCCUAUUUGGUAGAAGACCAAGUCCAUAUUAUGGCAAGAACAGCUCAAAUAAGCAAAGAGAAACUACAGUCCAUCAUUACUUGAAGACAUGAAGGUCAGCCAAUGCUGAACAUUUCAAGAACUUUGAAAAACCAUCAAGCACUAUGAUGACACUAUCUCUAAUGAGGACCGCCACAGGAAAGGAAGGCCCAGUUACCUCUGCUGCAGAGGUUAAGUUUAUUAGAGGUACCAGCCUCAGAAAUUGUAGCCCAAAUAAAUGCUUCAGAGUUCGAGUAACAGACACAUCUCAACAUCAACUGUUCAGAGGAGACUGUAUGAAUUGGGUCUUCAUGGUCGAAUUGCUGCAAAGAAACCACUACUAAAGGACACAAAUAAUAAUAAGAGACUUGCUAUGGCCAAGAAACAGGAGCAAUGGACAUUAGACCAGUGGAAAUCUGUCCUUUUUGGUCUGAUGAGUCCAAAUUAGAGAUUUUUGAUCCCAUCCGCUGUGUCUUUGUGAGACUCAGUAGGUGAACGGAUGAUCUCAGUAUGUGUGGUUCCCACUGUUUAGCAUGGAGGAGGUGUGAAGGUGUGGGGGUUCUUUGCUGGUGACAUGGUCUAUGAUUUAUUUAGAAUUCGAGGCAUACUUUACUUGUUAUGGCUGCAAUCCCGUUAACGGGAUAAUUAUCAUCAACAACCGCUGAAUAGCAUAGCGCCACAUUCAUGCAAUAAUACAAAAAAUUCAUGUUCAUGAAAUCACAAGUGCAAUAUAGGAAAGCACAGCUUAGCCUUUUGUUAAUCCACCUGUCAUGUCAGAUAUUGAAAUUAUGCUUUACAGUGAAAGCAAUCCAAGCAUUUGUAAGUUUUAUUGAUCGCUUGACAAAACAUUAAGUACACUUACCAUCAAGUAGCUCGGACACGUAAAUCAGAAAAGCAAUCAAAUUAAUCGUUUACCUUUGAUCUUCGGAUGUUUUCACUCACGAGACUCCCAGUUACAGAAUAAAAGUUCCUUUUGUUCCAUAGAUUAUUUUUAUAUCCAAAAUACCUCCGUUUGUUUGGCGCGUUAUGUUUAGAAAUCCACAGGAAAGAGCGGUCACGACAACGCAGACAAAUUCACAGAAACAUGUCAAAUGUUUUUAUAAUCAAUCCUCAGGUUGUUUUUAAAAUAUAUAAUUGAUAAUAUAUCAACCGUAACGGUCUUGUUCAGUAGGACAGUGAACGGCAAUGUCUGCCCAAACUCUGUUGCGCGAGCAAAACUCAUGCGAACAACUCAUGCGAACACUUGACGCGAUGUUAUCAGUCUGGCUCAUUUUUCUAAAUAAAAGCCUGAAACUAUGUUUGAAGACUGACACCUUGAGGAAGCGAUAGGAAAAGGAAUCUGGUUGAUAUCCCUUUAAAUGAAGCAAAGGGAGGCUAUGGAACAUGGAGUUUUCAAUAGAAGCCACUUCCUGGUUUGAUAUUCCUCAGGGUUUCACCUGUAAUAUCAGUUCUUUUAUACUCACAGACAAUAUUUUGACAGUUUUGGAAACGUUAGUGUUUUCUAUCCAAUACUAAUAAUAAUAUACAUAUAUUAGCAGCUGAGACUGAGGAGCUGGCUGUUUACAAUGGGCACCUUUUCAUCCAAGCUACUCAAUACUGCCCCUGCAGCCAUAAGAAGUUAACCAACAUGGCUACCACAGCAUUCUGCAGCGAUACGCCAUCCCAUCUGGUUUGUGCUUAGUGGGACUAUAAUUUGUUUUUAAACAGGACAAUUACCCCAAACACACCUCCCAGGCUGUAUUUCUGUAAGGGCUAUCUGACCAAGGAGGAGAGUGAUGGAGUGCUGCAUCAGAUGACCUGGCCUCCACAAUCACCUGAGAUGGUUUGGGAGGAGUUGGAAUGCAGAGUGAAGGAAAAGCAUUGAACAAUUGCUUGACUUAUGUGGGAACUCCUUCUAGACUGUUGGAAAAGCAUUCCAGGUGAAGCUGGUUGAGAGAAAGCUUUACACACUCUUGGCAAUCAGCAUGGCAAAGGGGUGGCUACUUUGAAGAAUCUAAAAUAUAUUUUAGAUUCUUCAAAAACUUUUUGGGUUGCUACAUGAUUCCAUGUGUGAUUGUAUAGUUUUGAUGUCUUCACUGUUAUUCUACAAUAGAUAAACCAUUGAAUGAGUAGGUGUGUCUAAACUUUUCACUGGUUCUGUAUGUGCAUAUUAUUUUUGUGUAAGCAAAUGAUGAAUUGAGUGUUAAUGCGUAUGUUGGAGUGACAGUUUGCAUGAGUGUGUAAUCGAUAAUUACUUGUGAGUGUGCAUAGGGAGAGUGCAAAAUAAAAUACAAGUGUCAACUCUGUCUGUGUAGCCAUUUUGUUAGCUAUUUAGUGGUCUUAUGGCUUGGGGAGAAAAACUGUUCAAGAACCCUGUUGGUGUCAGACUUAAUGUAACGUUUGUUCUCUGUGCUUCCCGACAACAGUCUAUAGCUUGGGUGGCUGGAGUCUUUAAUGAUUUUCCGGGCCUUCCUUUCACACUGAUAUAGAGGUCCAGGAUGUCAGGGAGCUCAGCCCCAGUAAUGUACGGAGCUGUCCACACCACCCUCUGUAGCACCAUGCUAUCGAGUGUGGUGCUUUUAACUAAACCAAGCAAUGAAUUAGCCAGUCAAGAUGCUCUCAAUUGUACAGCUGUAGACAUUUUUGAGGAUUUGAGGGCCCAUGCCAAACCUUUUCAACCUCCUGAGUGGGAAGAGGCACUUUCGCACCUUCUUCACGACUGUGAGUGUAUAUGUGGACCAUUUGAGUCAUUAGUGAUAUUGGACUGAAGAUCUCGACCUACUUCACUGCAGCCCAGUUGAUGUGGAUGGGGGAGUGCUCGCCCUCCAGUUUCCUGUAGUCCCACAAUCAGCUCCUUGGACUUACUGACGUUGAAGGAGAGAUUGUUGUCCUGACACCACCCUGCCAGGUCACUGACCUCCUCCCUGUAGGCCCUCUCAUUGUCGCCGGUGAUCAGGCCUACCACCGUCGUGUCGUCAGCAUGCCCACACAGUUUUGGGUGAACAGGGAGUACAGGAGGGGACUAAGCACACAACCCUGUGGGGCCCCCGUGUUGAGGGUCAGCGUGGCGGAGGAGAUGUUACCCGGAGGGGAUUCCUACCCUCAUCACCUGCGGUCUGCCCGUCAGGAAGUCCAUGAUCCAGGUGCAGAAGGUCCUAAGCUUGGUGACGAGCUUGGAGGGGACAAUUGUGCUGAACGCUGAGCUGUAGUCAAUGAACAGCAUUCUCACAUAGGUAUACCUCUUUUCUAGGCGGGUAAGGGCAGUGUGGAGUGUAAUUGAGAUUGCGUCGUCUAUGGAUCUGUUUGGGCAGUAUGCAAAUUGGAGUGGCUCUGAGAUGGAGUUGAUGUGUACUAUAACCAGCCUCUCAAAGCGCUUCACGAUUAUAGAUGUGAGUGCUGCAGGGUGGUAGUCAUUGUGGGAGAGAGCGAGAAUCUUGUUUAUACCUGCUCUUGUGGUCCCUGCAGUCUCAUUCUAGCCCAGCGUCUUACUGUGUUUUUGGCUUUGUUAUCAGCCAAUUACCUGUAGGCAACUGUGCUUACAUGCUUGUGCGUAUGUUAUCAGUGUCAGCAUCUCUGUGACUGUGGUAGUCACAAGGCUGAGGACCUGGCUUUAUCAUUGUGUGACAAACAGGUGAAGGUUAGUUAAUGCUCCCCCUGCUAGUUCUACUCUCAGUGGACGCUCAGACAGGACAGACACACCAGAUGACUACUGCAUGAGUCAUCAGAGAAAAGACUGUUCGCUUAUGCCCCUGGCCUCUCAGACUCAACACACACUCACUGAAGAGCAUGCACACACACACUUUAAAAAUAUAUUAUUUUUUUUACUUAACUUUUAUUUAACUAGGCAAGUCAGUUAAAACAAAUUCUUAUUUACAAUGAUGGCCUAGGAACAGUGGGUUAACUGUCUUGUUCAGGGGCAGAACGACAGAUUUUUACCUUGUCAGCUUGGGGAUUUGAUUUCGCAACCUUUCAGUUACUGGCCCAAACCUCUAAUCACUAGGCUACCUAAUAUAUCAUUCCUCGCUGUGUAAAGUAAUUUAGACACUUAGUAACUGUUAAUAUUGUUGCCCUUAUACCAUCAUGUAUUUACUGUACGUCUACAUCUGGCAACUACAAUCUAAUUACUUAGCUGUAAUCAGUAGCUGUAGAUAAUGACAAAUUAUUUAAUUGUGAUGAAAGCAAACCACUUUAGUUGCAUUCUGUUUUUAAAUUAACGGUUUGAGCGUUUUGUGUUGAUGCACAUCGGAUAUACAAUAAAAAUUGUUCAAUGUUACACAUAUUGCCAUAAGGUGGAGAAAAAUGUUUGCAGUUUUAAUAUUUAUUCUUAAUUAUUAUUUUUAUUUUUACUUUUUAUUUAACUAGGCAAGUCUUAUGGCUGCUGUCCCUGUACAGGGAUCAACAUCAGGGGAAAUUUCAGAGUGACAAAUAAAAAUACAAUUUCGUAACAUUAAACAUUCUUGAAAAUGCAAGUGUCUUACACCCUUCAAAAGAUUAGAAUCUUGGUAAUCAAACUACGUUUUCCAAUUUAAAAUAUCUAUUACAGAGAACAAAUCCCAUGCUUUUGUUUGAGAAGAGCAAUCAAGAACAGAAACAUUUUCUGACAUGACAGUUUUUACACAUUUACAUCUGAAGGUAAAAUUAUGACUUACAUUCUGAUAUCUUGCUCUUAUUUCUCUUCCUGAGUAUCCCAUUGAUCAAAUGAAGUGCCGUUUUCUUUGAUAAAAUCCAUUUUUAUAGCCUAAAUCUAAACAUUUUGUAAACUAUUUGUGCAGUGAAUUCCAUCUCUAUCAAUUUCUUACGGAGCAUUCGGCGUGAUUCGCCCCUGUAAACAAUCGUGUACAUAGUCAUGGUGGGUGUCAGUGCAUUCCUAUGGAUGUUUGCAACACAGUCAAACAACAGUUUUUUUUGCGGGGAGAAUUGACCGAAGUGAGCUGAUUUGAAGACAACGAUAAAUGACUACCUGACGCACCAAUAAUUUUAACGAAGAUUCAUUGAUUGACUAUAGUUCUGCCCAAUGACCACUGAUCUUCUUGAAAUCUAGCUGGGUAGAUAGCCAAUGAGCUGAGGUAAACGCCAGUAUGUAAUGGUUUGGGUUUUGACCACAAUUCCUUUGUUGUAAUCGUACACGCAGGGAACUCCAUUUUUGCCUUGACGAUCAGAGCAGUUGCUGUAAGGCUUUUUACGCGUAGCUGUAUUUCGGAAAGUUGUAGUUUCAACGAUUUCAUUGAAGAUAUCCUGGCAAAUACUUCAUGUAAAGCGAAAACUCUAAAGUAAAAGUGAAAGUGAGACAGAUUUUUUUUGUUUGAGGAAUCUUGGAGUGUUAUCAUUCAAACGAACUGAGGAGCGGAAGUACAGGAUGUACUUCUGGACGGUGAUAGCGACUCCGACGCCAAGCUGCCCACUACCUGUGCCCCCAGUGGUGUUCAUAUGCCACAGUUCAUUACUGCAGGCAUGACUGUGCCUCAGAGCCAAAAGGGCACAGCAUGGAGGCGUCGUUGUGUUCUGUGUCGCAUGAAAUGCAUCACUUGUUCAGUUUGCCUCUGCUUUACAUCAGAAAGAGACUGCUAUGGGACAUGGCACAGGCAGCAAAAUAUUAUGACGAGGACUUCCAAAGGCUGUGUACAGUUUUUUUUAGUUUUUUUUAUUUAUUUCUAAUAUUUUUUUAACAUUUUUGUGUGUGUAUGUGUGUUAGAAUUGCUUUUUGAUAUGUUGUAUAUAGUUAUUUGCACUGCUGUAUAUAGUUAUAGGUCAUUUCACCAAUUCGGCCACUUGGGUACAUUUGGGCAGCUUGUGUGGGACACCUGGGUGACUUCAUGCUAAAUAUCAUGUAGCUCAGCCAUUCCUGAAGUUAUCAGUCUCAAACUUUACACACCUACAGUUGCCCUCUUGUGUUAUCCAUCAAAAUGAUCUCCAGAAUCCUAUCUGACUGUGUGGCUAUUCUAGUACAUGUGAAUGAUGAUACUACAACAAUAAAAAACAGAAAACGUA
This is a long non-coding RNA of Oncorhynchus masou masou (cherry salmon), 7245 nucleotides long. RefSeq lists it as uncharacterized. The transcript has 3 exons. The record is from RefSeq and is a predicted model, not a curated record. Lineage: Eukaryota; Metazoa; Chordata; Actinopteri; Salmoniformes; Salmonidae.